This 476-nucleotide ribosomal RNA is filed under the name uncultured bacterium. RNAcentral's name for it is "bacterial SSU rRNA". It matches the Rfam family "Bacterial small subunit ribosomal RNA", at positions 28 to 507 of the family's 1533-position model. The record is from RNAcentral.
GACGAACGCUGGCGGCGUGCUUAACACAUGCAAGUCGAACGGGGCGAAGUGAUAGCUUGCUAUUAUGGAGCCUAGUGGCAAACGGGUGAGUAACGCGUAGGCAACCUGCCCUUCAGAUGGGGACAACACCUCGAAAGGGAUGCUAAUACCGAAUGAUGUUUCCUAGUCGCAUGACCUGGAAACCAAAGGCCGGGCAACCGGUCACUGAAGGAUGGGCCUGCGUCUGAUUAGCUAGUUGGUGGGGUAACGGCCCACCAAGGCGACGAUCAGUAGCCGGUCUGAGAGGGUGAACGGCCACAUUGGGACUGAGACACGGCCCAAACUCCUACGGGAGGCAGCAGUGGGGAAUAUUGCACAAUGGGGGAAACCCUGAUGCAGCGACGCCGCGUGAGUGACGAAGUAUUUCGGUAUGUAAAGCUCUAUCAGCAGGGAAGAAAAUGACGGUACCUGACUAAGAAGCACCGGCUAAAUACGUG